AAGUCGUAACAAGGUAUCCGUAGGUGAACCUGCGGAUGGAUCAUUAACAAGUAUUUAAACUCUAAUUAACAACUGUGAACUGUAAGGGACUUAUCCUCCCGCUUUUAUUAUAUUUUUAUACUGAAUACAUGAUAUAUAACAAUCAUAAAACUUUUAGCAACGGAUCUCUGGGCUCUC
This 177-nucleotide unclassified non-coding RNA is filed under the name fungal sp. Its description in RNAcentral is "partial internal transcribed spacer region". The stretch from base 1 to 46 matches the Rfam family "Eukaryotic small subunit ribosomal RNA", at positions 1786 to 1831 of the family's 1831-position model. The record is from RNAcentral. Lineage: Eukaryota; Fungi.